GAGUAAUGUCUGGGAAACUGCCUGAUGGAGGGGGAUAACUACUGGAAACGGUAGCUAAUACCGCAUAACGUCGCAAGACCAAAGAGGGGGACCUUCGGGCCUCUUGCCAUCAGAUGUGCCCAGAUGGGAUUAGCUAGUAGGUGGGGUAAUGGCUCACCUAGGCGACGAUCCCUAGCUGGUCUGAGAGGUUGACCAGCCACACUGGAACUGAGACACGGUCCAGACUCCUACGGGAGGCAGCAGUGGGGAAUAUUGCACAAUGGGCGCAAGCCUGAUGCAGCCAUGCCGUGUGUGUGAAGAAGCCUUCGGGUUGUAAAGCACUUUCAGCGAGGAGGAAGGUGGUGAGCUUAAUACACUCAUCAAUUGACGUUACUCGCA
RNAcentral lists this ribosomal RNA (378 nucleotides) under uncultured Serratia sp. RNAcentral describes it as "bacterial SSU rRNA". It matches the Rfam family "Bacterial small subunit ribosomal RNA", at positions 108 to 483 of the family's 1533-position model. Lineage: Bacteria; Pseudomonadati; Pseudomonadota; Gammaproteobacteria; Enterobacterales; Yersiniaceae. The record is from RNAcentral.